GGGACCGGCGGCCCGCUGACCUCCCCAAGAACCGGGAGAAAGAACUACCCGCCCCCCACCCUCCCGCGCAUGUCACCCGUCCGAGUGACGCGCUUGCGACGGAGGGAUACGGACCGUUACGUUCGCCGCGACAACCGCAAACGCAUACGGCCCCCGGCCGGGACGGCAAUCCCGAACGAGGGCCUGACCAAUCAGGAAGAGCAGAACUUCCCG
This 213-nucleotide non-coding RNA is filed under the name Streptomyces sp. M41(2017). Its description in RNAcentral is "Streptomyces sRNA 4677". It matches the Rfam family "Streptomyces sRNA 4677". Rfam says of the family: Located in the intergenic region between anti-sigma factor SCO4677 gene and a putative regulatory protein gene SCO4676. scr4677 expression requires the SCO4677 activity and scr4677 sRNA itself seem to affect the levels of the SCO4676-associated transcripts. Lineage: Bacteria; Bacillati; Actinomycetota; Actinomycetes; Kitasatosporales; Streptomycetaceae. The record is from Rfam by way of RNAcentral.